GACGAACGCUGGCGGCGUGCCUAAUACAUGCAAGUAGAACGCUGAAGGAGGAGCUUGCUCUUCUGGAUGAGUUGCGAACGGGUGAGUAACGCGUAGGUAACCUGCCUGGUAGCGGGGGAUAACUAUUGGAAACGAUAGCUAAUACCGCAUAACAGUAGAUGUUGCAUGACAUUUACUUAAAAGUUGCAAUUGCAUCACUACCAGAUGGGCCUGCGUUGUAUUAGCUAGUUGGUGGGGUAACGGCUCACCAAGGCGACGAUACAUACCCGACCUGCGAGGGGGAUCGGCCAGACUGGGACUGAGACCCGGCCCAGACUCCUACGGGAGGCAGCAGUAGUGAAUCUUCGGCAAUGGACGGAAGUCUUAGCGAGAAACGCCGCAGGAGUGAAGAGGGUUGUCGGGUCGUAAAGCUCGGUUGUCAGGGAAGAACGAGUGUGAGCGUGGAAAGUUCACACUGUGACGGUAACUUACCAGAAAGCGACGGCUAACUACGUG
RNAcentral lists this ribosomal RNA (495 nucleotides) under uncultured bacterium. RNAcentral describes it as "partial 16S ribosomal RNA". It matches the Rfam family "Bacterial small subunit ribosomal RNA", at positions 28 to 507 of the family's 1533-position model. The record is from RNAcentral.